AUACGUAUGUCGCAAGCGUUAUCCGGAAUUAUUGGGCGUAAAGCGAGUCUAGGCGGCUUGUUAAGUCAGAUGUGAAAAUGCGGGGCUCAACUCCGUAUUGCGUUUGAAACUGGCAGGCUAGAGUACUGGAGAGGUGGGCGGAACUACAAGUGUAGAGGUGAAAUUCGUAGAUAUUUGUAGGAAUGCCGAUAGUGAAGACAGCUCACUGGACAGAUACUGACGCUAAAGCUCGAAAGCGUGGGGAGCGAACAGGAUUAGAAACCCCUGUAGUCC
This 273-nucleotide ribosomal RNA is filed under the name uncultured bacterium. RNAcentral's name for it is "partial 16S ribosomal RNA". It matches the Rfam family "Bacterial small subunit ribosomal RNA", at positions 523 to 796 of the family's 1533-position model. The record is from RNAcentral.